RNAcentral lists this ribosomal RNA (253 nucleotides) under uncultured bacterium. RNAcentral's name for it is "partial 16S ribosomal RNA". It matches the Rfam family "Bacterial small subunit ribosomal RNA", at positions 524 to 776 of the family's 1533-position model. The record is from RNAcentral.
UACGGAGGGUGCGAGCGUUGUCCGGAAUCAUUGGGCGUAAAGGGCGCGUAGGUGGCCCGGUCAGCGUGCGGUGAAAGCUCGGGGCUCAACCCCGAGUCGGCCGUGCGAACUGCUGGGCUUGAGCACUGUAGAGGCAGGCGGAAUUCCGGGUGUAGCGGUGGAAUGCGUAGAGAUCCGGAAGAACACCGGUGGCGAAGGCGGCCUGCUGGGCAGUGGCCGACACUGAGGCGCGACAGCGUGGGGAGCAAACAGG